This 1566-nucleotide long non-coding RNA is filed under the name Sorghum bicolor (sorghum). RNAcentral's name for it is "long non-coding RNA (SBIC_LNC005539)". Lineage: Eukaryota; Viridiplantae; Streptophyta; Magnoliopsida; Poales; Poaceae. The record is from RNAcentral.
CUGCACUACAUUGCAUAUGACACCUUUUAUUGGCAUGCAUGGGAUGGAUGGGUGAAUGUGUGCAAGUGUUUGUUAUGAUUAUUAUGCCCUAAUGGGUUGGAAGAAAUUCAACUAACAGGUUCAAUUGUUUCACUUUCACCAUGGCCUGGAUCUGGGACAGGCAGAUCUGCCCCCUUGCAGGAUGCUUGCUGUUACCAUGCUCCAACUGAUUCACCAUUUGUGCCACCAUGCCCAAAACCCAGCGGCUGCUGAGUUCCCCUCUGCAGGGCCAGAAACUGCAAUGGAUUCAAGCUUCACACACACUGCCUGCUGCUGCAGCUCCCCUUUUAUAAUAAUGGGAAGCAAUGAUUAACAAUGUGAGGGCAAGCUUGCUUUAUCUUUCCAUCUAUGCAGUGCAGGCCACAGUGAAGUAUAAAUAUGCCCCUGCUCUAGCCAAUGGGACACAAAAGGAGAGCUUCUUCAGCUGAAUACACUGAACCUUCACAUGAAAAGGCCUGAAAUCUUUUUCCAUGACACGCACAGAUCUUGUCGUCCUCUAAAACCACACUUAUCCAACUAAACCACACUUUAUAUGUGUAUAAUCACAUGCUUUUUACAUAGUUUAUUAUCACUUCAAUUCGCUCCAGCCAAUGGUUGCAAAGAGACAGCUCUGUUUCUUUGCUAAGACAAUGAUGUCUUUGUUGUUAAUCAAGCUCCUUUUUUUCCCCCUUGGUACAGUGCAAUGGAAUCUAUGGAGAGCUCAGUUCUGGUAAGUGCACAGAAUGAGGGGGCAGACCAGUUAUCCCCUCCCCUCACUCUGGGCCUGCCUGCUGACAGCCUGCACAUGGCCUCAUGGGAUCAAAUCUCAUUGUUAAAGGCUUGCAAAUCUUGCAAACAUGGCUUGGCACACACUACUAUAGUGGUUUCCCUUAUUCCACUCCCAGCUGUUCCUAGAACUAAUCUGGGUUAACUGCUUGGAGGGCUUUUCAAAUGCUCACAGAUCAGGGAAAGGUUAGAGGCUAUGAGGACACAACCAUUGCUGCUUGUUCCUACCAUUUGAUCUGCAAAAUUUUCAGAAGUAACAAAUCUAAGAUGGAUGCCCUCCUCUACACUACAUCUACUGCAGUUUCCUUCAUCUCCAGCUCAUAGAAAUAGUUUCUUUCAUAUGACAUAUGAGUAAGCUAAGCAGUUGGCAAUUGGCAUGCAUGAACCUAAUCUCUCAUGCCUCUAAUUUAAAAGGCAGACCUUGGGACCAUGCAUUGGAUGUUGUGAACUGUAUCAGUAUUCUCUUGCUCUCCAUCAGAGAAGGUGAUUAACAAAACAGCAUGAGUUUCUCGCAGGGUAAACUAUUCAACUGGUGUAGUAAUUAAGUAGUAAUUUGCUUGGAUUUAACAACCAGAAUGAGGUGAGUGACAUGCACAGAGAGUAAGCAGCAGACCAGACAUCUCUGGGUGCAUCACAAACAGCAGCACCCUCUGCUCCCAGAUUUGGUAGUAUAUCACCACUUGUGCUAUCCACUGAAUAAGCUGUGGAGGCAAACUGAAGCGCGCACACCCAUCUAUACAUGAUUCCCCUGUGUGCACCUCU